This 253-nucleotide ribosomal RNA is filed under the name uncultured bacterium. RNAcentral's name for it is "partial 16S ribosomal RNA". It matches the Rfam family "Bacterial small subunit ribosomal RNA", at positions 524 to 776 of the family's 1533-position model. The record is from RNAcentral.
GACAGAGGUGCCAAGCGUUAGGCGGAAUCACUGGGCUUAAAGCGUGUGUAGGCGGAUCGUUAAGUACCUUGUGAAAUCCCACGGCUCAACCGUGGAACUGCUCGGUAUACUGGCGGUCUUGAGCCACCUAGGGGCAACUGGAACAAGCGGUGGAGCGGUGAAAUGCGUAGAUAUCUGGAGGAACACCGGUGGCGAAGGCGGCGUCCUGGACCAACACUGACACUGAGGAGCGAAAGCCAGGGGAGCAAACGGG